This 9650-nucleotide long non-coding RNA is filed under the name Homo sapiens (human). RNAcentral's name for it is "non-protein coding lnc-B3GNTL1-4:1". The record is from RNAcentral. Lineage: Eukaryota; Metazoa; Chordata; Mammalia; Primates; Hominidae.
AGGCGAGCCUGGCCCCCAUGCCUGAGAGCCAGAUUCCAUUCCCUGGCAGCCUCACCUUGGAUCGGACAGGGAGGGAUCCUAGGACACCAGCCUCGUCUAUCCUCCCUGGGACACCCUAGAACCUCACAGCCUGUGGGAAACACCAGGGCAUGGAGGGUCAAGCCUACAAAAUCCCCCAGUAGGUGAUUAGGAUAAGGUGAGCACUGGCCCUAGCUGACUCAGGCCAGCCCCCCAAGCAGCCAGACCACGUGAGAAGUGAUGGCCACACAAUGCUCUGGGUGUCUCAAGGAAAGUCCAAGAGCAGUGGCACUCCGGGCUGCAUCCUUGGAGUAAGCACAGAGCAAGACCCCAGCAUGCUUUGCAGACCCCGCCUUAUGAGCCCUGCACCCCACUGCUCCGGGAGGGGUCAGCACCCCCAUGCCAGGGCUGGUUUUCGGGGUGGGUGCCUGGACAAUCUGAAGGACCUUUCGGCCACAAGGUGUUGAGAACUCUGCAGAGGAUGCUGGGGAUUAGCACAACAAGCUCUGCUCCUUCAGGCUGUGCGAGGCCUCAUGAAAGCUCCUAAAAAUCAGAGGAAGGGCCAUGGCAGAGCCUGGGACAAGUGGGCAGCUCACAGAGGGGACUGGGUGCUUGCCAUUAGCCCAGACUUCUCCCACUGCUCCUGCCUCAACUGCUACUGCCCGGAGUCUAAGCCCACUUUGUUGACAAGUACCCAUUCUAUAGAGAGCCUCGCCUAACUCCAGGUAGAGGCAGAAAAGUGUGUGUAGAUCAAAUGGCCCAGCUGGCAGCAGAGCCAAAAGUCAUGCUUACUUGCUGGCCAGCCUUGCACAAGGCACCAAGGGUCACCUCUGCAGGCUUCAGAUCCUGCCCUCUGUGAACAGUCAAAAAGAAGGUGUCAGAAGGAGCUAGAGGAUGCAAGGGUGGCCAAGGGGCACAGAGGAGGGUCAGGUUACACUGGGAGGGAAGAGAGGCAGCCUUUGCAUUCUCUAGGAGAAGCAGGGCGGGAGACUUUGGAGCCCAGCUCCCUGAUGGGACAUAUGGGAACCUGCGGGGACAGGAGAGUGUCUUUGAUAGGCGAGCCCAGUGCCUCUUACCUUCAGGAGGGCGCCUGAGCUGUGAAGUCUGCCCCUGUUGCUCAGAGAUAGUUCCCUCCAGCAGGAAAACCUCUUUGAGGUGAGUUACGGCUUCUGGAGGCACAAGGAUGGGCCGAGGUCACCAGGCCUUGCCUGUCCACCUUACCUACCCUGAAGUGCAUGACCUUUCUUAGGGACAGAGCCUCUCUAGUUAAUCUUAGAGCCUGGCCAGGAGCCCAGGAUGGGGCAGCAUGGGGCACAACACUUACUAGAUGGUCAGGCGAGGGGAGCAACUGGGACCCUCCCCUCCAGUUCGAGCCAUGUGUGUCAUGUAUGUGCAUGUACAUGUGUGUAUGUAAUGUGAAGUCAGAUGUGUGUAUGUGUGCAUAUGCAAGGACAUGCUAAUGUGUGUGUGCAUGUACACGUGUGAAUCUGUGCAAGCACAUACAAGUGUGCAUGGGCGUGGACAUGUAUGUGCAUGCAUGUGGAAGUAAGUGUACAGGUACAGUCUGAAUCUGUGUGUGCACACACAAGUGUGCAUGGGUGUGGGCAUGUGUGUAUGUGCAUGCAUGUGGAAGUGUGGAAGUGUACAGGUACAGUCUGAAUCUGUGUGCACACAUAAGUGUGCAUGGGUGUGGGCAUGUGUGUAUGUGCAUGCAUGUGGACGUGUGUGAGUUGCCCUAGCACAUGUUUGUACAUAUGCUUGUGUGCACCCAUGCUAGGCUGCUCUCCCUCCUGGUUCUCUUUCAGGACAGGCCAAGUGAACCAGGGCGAGCUCUUCUCUCCCUCUGACGGCCCCUCCACAGGAGAGGGACCUGGGACCAAGGUUCCUUCAGCCAUCAGACCCUAAGUCUCAGGGCACAGGGUCAGAAAGCUUCUAAGGACCCAUGAAAAUAUAGAAACUGGGUGAAAUUAACUCUUAUUGGCCCGACAUAUGAAAAGAAAAUUGCUUUUGAGCUUCCAGGAGAUCUUCUCAGGUUUUGUUUUGGGGAUUUCCUGGGAAGGGCAUGUUUCCAAACAAGACUCUUGCCGUCUGCUCCCCCGGAGCUCCCCAACCAGCCAGGAGAGGCCACUGGCAGGGAAGAAGGUCCAGCCCAGCACAGACUCCCCAGGGAGGGCCCCAGCCCAGUGGAAGGACCAUGGAAACCAUGUCAGUCUCCCUCAGCGGCUGCCCUGGGUUGACAUGUCCCCUUAGGGAUCUCAGGCUCUCAACCCUCUAGUCAAUUCUGAGCUGAGUUUUUCUGGAGCUUUAUAUUCAACUCUGACUUUGCUUCCCUUCACCUCUACUCCCCACCCUAGAAAUAGAAACCUGAGGUCAGGAAGUGCUGAGGGUCCUUGGGUUUGGUGUCGGGGAAGACACCGUGCUGACUCGAACCCACUAGGCCUGGAGCCCAAAAGUCCCUUCUCUGUGACCUGCGACAAGCCUCUACAGCCACGUCUCCUUCCCUGUGGUAACCGAGUGACACCAAUUGGCUCCCAGCCACCGCUGGGCCUCAGGCAGUUGCAGUGGCUUCGGCACUGGCUUUGCUGAGCCAGUGACAGCGACGGCACCUCCUGGAUGUGAAAUGUGCCAACACCCUGGCCUCGGGGACCGUACGGCGUGGUGUGAAAUUUCUGUUUUAACGCUCCAUGACCACAUAGGUCUUGGCUUUUUAUGAGUAAAGCAGAGACCGUGUUGUACCCAAGCUCUCUGGGUGGCACCCACAGCUUCCUCAGCGGGGUAACGGUGACGGGUGGACAACUGGCCCACAGGCAAACUGCACGUCCCCCACGGCGAGCAUCUCUGAGCUGCACUGACCAGUUCAGGCCCAUGCGUCACCGGCAUUUUUCUGAGCCAGCUCCUCUGGUUCAUGAGAAGGUCUGAAUUCAAGAAAUGAACGCCCAGCAAUUAGCAAUGUCCACAGAAUCAAAGGAGCAUGGUUUUAGUUGUCCUCCCAGGCAGCUUUGCCAGUCCGGGUAUGAGGUAAAGCCAGAGGGACCCUGCCUCACCCACGCGCCCCAAGAGGGGUCCAAGGACCACCGACUGUCCCCACUUCCCUGGAACUGAGGAUGAGGCUGAUUCAUGUGUUUCCUGUGACGGCCACGACAUCAUCAUAUCCGCUCGGAGAACUAUUUUUAACUGAUUUAUGUAUUUCUUGUAUGAGGAAGACACCAACUUCUCCUUUAGUCAGUUUUACAGGAAAGUACUGCAGCUGUGCUCAGCUCAGCAAUAUUAAUCGCCACAGAGCACCCUCCGAAGUCUUGCAAAAAUUAAUAAAGUUGGAAAUAUGAGUCAGGUUUGGAUGCCACUCAUUCUGAAAAAGAAGAAACUCAAUAAUAGUUACCUUCUCCUGUAGAAUCAACGAGCCCAGUUUGCGAAAGAGCACCCUGUGUCUUUAAAUUUCCGUGGCGUGCCCACAGAGGAAGGUGUUCCGACCUCUGCUGCCGCUGCAGCUCCGGGGCACUGACCACACAGAGCUGGUUUCUGCACUUGCAUCGCUUGCCCGAGAGCUAGUCACCGCGGGCGUGGGCGAGGCUGCCAGGGGCCACCUGCCUGCCAGAGCCAGGGUGCCUAUCUUUAAGGCCAGGGGCUCCUGAGGACACAGACACUUCCCUCCUCUUUCAGACAAGGACAAGCUCAGGGACAUGGGUGGUUUGGGCUCAGGCUGACCGGGAAAGACACGUAGAAAGUUUGGUGUGCGCUCUGGGUUGUGGGGGCCCGGCGGGAGGGUGGGCUUCAGGAUCCCGUCCCAGGACGCGUUCAUUCAGCGGCACUCACACCCCCAGCACCUGCUCCCGGCGGGUGCCGAGGCUUCUUUCACUCUUCUUAGCAUCUCCCCAUCACUCACUUGACUCCAACCAACAGCCACUUAUGUACCAGCUACGCGCCAGGUUGCUGAACAGCUCUGAGCAAUUAAAGGGCAGCCAGGAGCAGCUGGGAGAGGAGGGGCUGGAGGAGGAAGAGGGGUCCAGGACCCAGGGGCUCACGGGGCAUCCCGAAGUCUUUGUGGAGACCUAGGGUUGGGGCUGCAGCAGGGGGUCGGGGGGCAGCCAGAGAUCCCGGUAGACCCGGGAGGGGCCUGAUCAAGGAGAAGGAGGGGCCACAGAGCCAGGGUCAGGACAGACUGUGAGGGGGCCUCUUGUUGGGACAGCGUCCCCUCGGAGCAAGAGCCCGGGGCGUGUGGCCGCCUCACUGUGACCUCCGGCCGUGCAGGCCUCUGGGGAGGGUGGAGAUGUUUUCCCCUUCUCAGAGCACGCAGGUGUUACCUGCCCACAGAGUAGGAAGUGGGGUGCUGUCACCUGCACCGCACAGGUGAGGAAGCUGAAAACCCAAGACCCAAGCCAUUUGGUCUCACUCUGGCUGAAUCACCUGGAGGCUUUGGGAAACAGAUUUUCUUCCCCCUUCCAGCCUUACCGCCACCCUCCUCUCUUCUAGAAGAGGCAAGAAGAAGCGGGGGUGGGGGUGCAGGCCGAAUUGCCUGGAGGUUAGGGGGACCCUCAGCACCUGAGUCAGGGCUCUGUGAGACCCCCUGGUUCUUCGCUCACUGUGGGCUGAGACGCAAGCUGAGUCGUCCACAGGAAGAUACCCUCUUACUCUGAACAACCACUCUUUCAAAGAGGACACUGAGGCUCAGAGAGGCUCCCCAAAGCAAUGGCCAGCCACCAUGGGCAGGACGUGGACUCCGGCCCAGGAAGCCUGGCUCCAGAAUCAUGCUCCAGGCCUCUAAGCUGUAAUUUGUGUCCUCCAGGGCUCACAAUAUCUAAGAUUUAAUGUGGAAAAAUGGUGCUAUUCUGUCUCACCCCAUGCCCCAAAAUGAACUUAAAGGCAAAAAAAAAAAAAAAAAAAAAGAAUAAUUAUAAAGUUUGGAAGAAAAUACAAGAGCAUUUUGGUAUAAAAAUGCAAAAUCCAAAGCCUUAAAGGAAACCAUUUGACUACUUAAAAUUUAAAAACUUUUAUGUGAUGAAAAGAACAACCUUAAAAAGGUAAAAUAAUAAGCAGCAGACUGGGAACGAAUAUCUGCAAUGUAAACACAAAGUACUGAUAUUCAUCAUAUAUAAAGAACUCCCACAAAUCAACAAGAAAAAAGCAAAUGACUAGCUAGAAAAGUGGUAAAGGGUAAAAACAGAAACAUAGUCAAAUAAACUAAUGAAUAUCACAAAAUAUCCAACCUCCCUAUUAAUCAUAGAAAUAAGAAAUUGAAAAAUAUUUUAUGACUAAAUCUAGUGUUGCUCCAGUGAGGAAGGGAUCCACUGACAUGCCGUAUGCAGGGGUGUGAAUGGGAACAGGCUUUUGAGAGGUGAUUUGGAGUCUCUAUCACAAGUUUAAAUGCACCUGCCCUGAGACGCCCAUCCCUGGGAAGAGAUGUCCGUGCAGAUGUCUAAGGCACACGUCUGGAAACGGUGAAGACCUGAGAAGAACAAUCCUUAAGGGUCCCAGCCCCUGAGUGUUCACCUUCCAGGGAAACCAGUCCUCAUGGAGAACUCAGAGCCCUGGUGGGGUGGUUGCUGUGGUCUAGGGCCUUUGUCAAGGUUCAUCCCAGGCUGGGCUUUUGGAGGGCAGGGAGGCCGCUAGUAUCUGGGUGGCUGCCUGAGCCUGCAGAUCCCACACCCAGCUGCCCCGAGGAGCUACUGUCCACCUGGUGGAGACUCAGGCUGGGCCCAACUCAGAACUAGGAGCAAGGGAGUGAAGCAGGGAUGGGGUCCUGCAGAGGGGCGGUAGGGUCUGGCCCUCCUGGUCUGGGGGCCUCCCCGGGCGGGACAGUCCCUGUGUCCCACCCCAACCGCCUGCUGCUUUUUCUGGACCACCCCCCACCCCGUCCCCCGUUCCCCUCCAGGCUGGGCUUCCCACUGUCUUCCCACUGACUCAGCAUCCGUCCUUCCCGUGGGGGCAGCAGCAUCACUGCCUUCUCACGUGGAAUCCCAGGGAGCUGCAGCCUCCACCCUGCCUUCUGGAGAGUUCUGUCUCUAAUUUUAUACGCCCUAUCAGCCUGUUAUUCGAUCCAGAUGCCUGUGAAAUUUGCAGCGGGAUCGUUCUGUGACGGGCGGUGGGCAGCCCAGGCAGGGCUGCCGUUUCGUGCAUCAGCCCAGAGGUCUGAGAAGGGUGUGGCUCCUUCCCUGGGAAACAACAUGGGACUAGUUCCAGAGCCAACACCCAUCACUUUGCAACCCCCUGGGUAAGUGUGCGUGGGGGGGGGGGGGUGCUGAGCUGCAGCGGGGGGCAGAGGGCUCAGGCUGGACCACCCCUGCACCUUCCACAGUGAGGCCAUCCCCUCCUGAGCCUCUGGCUCCUGGCCUAUCCUCGCUCCCUCACCCAAGCCCCAUGAGGAUUCAGUAGCUUGAGAAGGACCCUCUGCUCACCAGAGGUCACAGUGACUGUGAGAACACCCUCCUGUCCUCUUCCCCCCAUUCCUUCCUGGACCUUGGGACACUUCUGGGAGGCAGCGCCCUCUCCCAACAGAGUCUUCUCCACAGGGCAGCCACGGGGACUUUGAGGAUACCAGGUCCUCACCCAGGCCCCCGUCUCAGAGUCAAAGCCGUAACUCCCAUAGCACAGUGGCCUUCGAGAUGCCCUCUUGUCACCCGCCAAGGGGUGCCGGCACUGAGUGCGAGGAUUUGACUUCCCACAAGAGGAAAGCAGGUUCUUUCCCAGGGGCCAUGCCAGGCCCCAGCACCUCUGCUGACCUGGCUCAGUGCGUCGGGGAAAAGGGGUGCCCAGCCUCCUCUGUGUCUCCAAGUCAGGGGCAUCCCAAGGCACCUCACUUGGGUGCUCUCAGAAAAGACAGCCCUGAAUCUCAGAGCCACCAAAGGCAGGCAGGAUUCGAGCCUGGCCUCAAGCAUGACUCUGGAACGUAAAGAGGAAAAGACGAUUUAGGUUAACGUGGGACACAGCCGGUUUCCCGCCCAAACCAAGGUCCAGGGGGACUUCUCAUCCCCAGCAGGGGGUGUGUCUACAAAGAACAACCACAAACUGGGGUCAUUUCCAAAAGAAACACUCCCGGCUUCCUCCAGGGGCAGAGACCGAGGGGUCUGGGGGAGGAGGCUGGGGUGGGCAGAGGCCCGAGGUAGGGAGGUCCAGGGGCACAUCCCAGGUCUGGCAGCAUGGGCCGGGCCCUGCUGGGAGGGGGCUGAGGACCCCAGAGCCUAGGCCUGUCCUAAGCCUGUCCUUAGCCGGAGAGCCUCGGCCCUGUGCUGGCAGCAGGGUCUUCACUCCUUGCCAGCUCCACAUAGGCAGUCAGGCUCAGGCCAGCCCCCAGCCAACAGCGGCUCCCAACACGCCCUGCCCUGUGGGAGAUGCCAAGCUGGCAUCCCUCUCGGGCCAGGCCAGGCCUCCUGGUGGUGUGGCCAGCGCUGGCACACAGUCCUGAAUUCCUUCAAAGAACAACAAACUGAAAAUCCAGCUGAGUUCAAAUUUGCCCAAAUUCCCACUUGAAGUUUCCCUGUCCCAGAGGGUGGUACCCGCCCCACCCCGGUGGGAUGUGGUGAAGGCAGUGGCUCCUCCCGGCCAUGAGGCAUAAACAAAUACCGCCUGGGCCACAGGGGCUUGGCCGGAGCCCUUGACUCAGCCCCACCCAGGCCCCCUCCUGCACCUCGACCGGCUCCUGGGGCUCCAUGACCCACAAGCCAGCAAGUUUCUCAGCUGCCCUGACACAGCCUAAGACGGGUCUCAAGUCCCUGUCGUGCCCGUCCCAGGAAACCGGUCUUCACCUAGUCAGUCCCAGAGACCUUGCUCCUCACGCCCAAGGUGAGCAGCCCCGUGUGAUUCUCAAUCUUUCAGGGUUGACCCUGACCUAACCCACAUCUCCACCUCAAGUCUCCCACUCCAGUCUGAGAAACCCUCCCCGCUCCAGCCCCUAAGCCCAGCCCAGCCCAGCCCCGCAGGGCCUCCUGACUCACCCAGAUCUGUCCCCACAAGAGGCCUCCUCACUCCUCAGUGGGAGACUCCGUGGCGUGCAGGCUCCAGGGGCUCUGUGGUCCCGGAAGCGAAGGUGGGGCUGGAGGAGGAAGCGAAGCGGAUGUCACCUUCCUUGAGGGAUUCUGGAGCCGCUUCAGUGGACAUCUUUGCCCUCUGACCUGAGCCUCUGAUUGGGUCAUGGGUGGCCAGCAGCACAGCUGAGCCUGUGUCCUGUGCAGCCCCAGCCCCUCCAGCGGGAUCACUGGCCCGUUGGGGAUGACAGAGAGACACUCCCCGUCCUCUGGAGCAGGGGUCCCCAGGCUGUGGUCUGUUAGGAACCGGCCGCGCGGCAGGAGGUGAGCGGUGGACCGGCCUGACCCUGAGCUCCGCCUCCUCUCGGAUCAGCGGCGGCAUUCACUUCUCACAGGAGCGUGACCCCUAUUGUGAACUGCACGCAAGGGAUCUAGGUUGUCCGCUCCUUAUGAGAAUCUAAUGCCUGAUGAUCUGAGAGGGAAACCAUCCCUUCUUCUCUCCAACACCCACAGAAUAAGUGUCUUCCACAAAACCUGUCCCUGGUGUCAAAAGGGUUGGGGACCACUGCUCUGGUGGGAAGGUGCCAGGCCCCUCAGCCCCUUCCAGGAGACUGAGAAAGGGUUCAGGAAACCUGGGGGGCCGGCUGGUUCACCACCCUCCCCCCACCCUUGGCUCACCCAAGUCAGGGGCUCCACCCCAGCAGGCAGAGCUGACAACUCACAGGGGUGUCUGGGGAGGGCAAUGUCCACUGCCAUCUGCCAGGUCACGGGGGGAUGCUGGAGGUCUGCUCUACCUCAGUUCCCCUGGCGUGGGUGCCUGGGGCUUCAGAUUCACCCUUGUGUGGAGGUGGGGAGGCAGGAUUGGGGAGGACCCUGAGUCUCCCAGGCAGGCAGCCUGGCACCGGGUGGGGGACUGUGAUCCAGCAAACCUGCUCAUUCUUGUGGGCGGCUAACGGCUUUUAUUUCAGGACACCCACAUGUGUUAAAACAGGAAAUAAAGUAUACGAGAAACAGCACCCCCACACACUCCCGGGUAAGGAGGCUUUUCCUCAGUCCUCCACUCACACCCACACAGCCCCAGGAGGGACCCCUAGGCACAGCCCACACCUCCACAUCCCAUCCAACCCCCACGUUCCUGGGCUGCUCUUUCUCUGAAGCAUUUUAACACACAGGCGUGAGUGCACAUACACACACACGUUUACCAACCAUGCUUGGUCCCUGUAGCGUCUCCUUCCACCUGGGGCAGGUGACAUAAGGGGUCAGGUGCCCGCUGACUCAGGACUUGUGGUUCCUGGAACUCUCAAACUGUGGCUGCAUGAGUCCCACCCUGAGGGCUGAUGGGGUGGACCCACAGAGUGCUGGACCUGCCCCAAACCUCAGAGCAUGUCGGGCUGAAUGUCCAGACACCGAGGAGCUUCGGGCAAGGUCAGGGGCCAGGCAUCGUGACAGUGUCCCCAGGCAGCUGACCAGGAGAGGACAAGGCAGCUGAGAGGGCCAGGGGAGGGGGUGUGGGAAUGCAGGGCUAGUGUCAGCAGGCCCAGCUGGGUGUGUGUCUCCUGGGAAUCUGCUACAGGGGCCCUAGCACUGCGCUGUGCUCCCCGGGGGACCCCCACCCACCCAGGCCAGGGCCAGGGUGGUGGCUCCGUGUAGUGGCCAGUGCUGUUCAGGGUCUGG